AUAUCAUUAAGCGGAGGAAAAGAAACUAACAAGGAUGCCCUUAGUAACGGCGAGUGAAGUGGGCAAAGCUCAAACUGAAAAUCGGUUCCCCACGCGGGGUUUCGAAUUGUAGUCUAUAGACGCGCUAUCAGCACUGGCCCGGGUAUAAAUCUUUUGAAACAAGGUGUCAUAGAGGGUGAGAACCCCGUCCAUGACUCGGUGUCCGGUGCGUACGAUGCGUGUUCAAAGAGUCGGGUUGCUUGGGAUUGCAGCCCUAAGUGGGUGGUAAAUUUCAUCUAAAGCUAAAUAUUGACGAGAGACCGAUAGCGAACAAGUACCGUGAGGGAAAGAUGAAAAGAACUUUGAAAAGAGAGUUAAAAAGUACUUGAAAUUGUUAAGAGGGAAGCACUGGAAACCAGUAUUACUGGGUAUUGUACUCGCUUAUCGGUGGCUUGGCGGUAGUGCGCCGUGAGUUUAAACCGCGGUUGUGCUGCCAAAAGGUCGCUGGUGGGUCUAGCAGUGCCUGGUAGGUCAAAAUCAAUUUGCCUCGUGGGAGAAAGCUGUCGGGAAGAUAGGGCGGAGGGGCAACCCAAUGCCUGUUACAGCCUGGCAGUCCUACCAUGGGGUGGAUUGA
This 613-nucleotide ribosomal RNA is filed under the name uncultured fungus. RNAcentral describes it as "eukaryotic LSU rRNA". It matches the Rfam family "Eukaryotic large subunit ribosomal RNA", at positions 40 to 598 of the family's 3401-position model. The record is from RNAcentral. Lineage: Eukaryota; Fungi.